AUUGAACGCUGGCGGCAGGCCUAACACAUGCAAGUCGAGCGAGCGGCGGACGGGUGAGUAAUGUAUGGGGACUGCCCGAUAUAGGGGGAUAACUACUGGAAACGGUAGCUAAUACCGCAUACUAUCGGAUAACCCAUAUGGGAUUAGCUAGUAGGUGAGGUAAUGGCUCACCUAGGCGACGAUACCUCGCUGGUCUGAGAGGAUGAUCAGCCACACUGGAACGGAGACACGGCCCCGACUCCGACGGAGGCAGCAGUGGGGAAUAUUGCACAAUGGGGGCAAGCCUGAGACAGCCAUGCCGCGUGUAUGAAGAAGGCCCUAGGGUUGUAAAGUACUUUCAGCCGGGAGGCGUUACCGGCAGAAGAAGCACCGGCUAACUCCGUGCCAGCAGCCGCGGUAAUUC
RNAcentral lists this ribosomal RNA (403 nucleotides) under uncultured bacterium. Its description in RNAcentral is "partial 16S ribosomal RNA". It matches the Rfam family "Bacterial small subunit ribosomal RNA", at positions 30 to 526 of the family's 1533-position model. The record is from RNAcentral.